This 819-nucleotide ribosomal RNA is filed under the name uncultured bacterium. Its description in RNAcentral is "bacterial SSU rRNA". It matches the Rfam family "Bacterial small subunit ribosomal RNA", at positions 10 to 813 of the family's 1533-position model. The record is from RNAcentral.
AGUUUGAUCCUGGCUCAGGACGAACGCUGGCGGCGUGCCUAACACAUGCAAGUCGGACGGGCUUGGGGGGCAACUCUCAAGUCAGUGGCGAACGGGUGCGUAACACGUGAGCAAUCUGCCUUCAGGUGGGGGAUAGCCGGCCCAACGGCCGGGUAAUACCGCAUACCGCCCCGGGAUCUCAUGAUUCUGGGGUAAAAGCAGCCGCAAGGUUGCGCCGGAAGAGGAGCUCGCGGCCUAUCAGCUAGUUGGCGAGGUAACGGCUCACCAAGGCGACGACGGGUAGCUGGUCUGAGAGGAUGGCCUGCCACAUUGGGACUGAGAAACGGCCCAGACUCCUACGGGAGGCAGCAGUGGGGAAUAUUGCGCAAUGGCCGAAAGGCUGACGCAGCGACGCCGCGUGUGGGAUGAAGGCCUUCGGGUUGUAAACCACUGUCGGGGGGGGCGAAUACCUGGGCCUCGUAAGGGGACCCGGGGGUGACGGUACCCCCAAAGGAAGCACCGGCUAACUCCGUGCCAGCAGCCGCGGUAAUACGGAGGGUGCGAGCGUUGUCCGGAAUCACUGGGCGUAAAGGGCGCGUAGGCGGUUCGUUAAGUCACUUGUGAAAUCCCGGUGCUCAACGCCGGGGCUGCAGGUGAGACUGGCAGACUAGAGCUCGGUAGAGGCGAAUGGAAUUCCCGGUGUAGCGGUGGAAUGCGUAGAUAUCGGGAAGAACAUCGGUGGCGAAGGCGGUUCGCUGGGCCGAUGCUGACGCUGAUGCGCGAAAGCGUGGGGAGCAAACAGGAUUAGAUACCCUGGUAGUCCACGCUGUAAACGAUGGG